This is a long non-coding RNA of Mauremys reevesii (Reeves's turtle), 395 nucleotides long. RefSeq lists it as uncharacterized. The record is from RefSeq and is a predicted model, not a curated record. Lineage: Eukaryota; Metazoa; Chordata; Testudines; Geoemydidae. The transcript has 3 exons.
UACCUGCCGGAUCGGCAGGCAGCGAUCGAUCCAGCGGGGGUCGAUUUAUCGCGUCUAGUAUAGACACGAUAUAUCGACCGCUGAACGCUCUCCCAUCGACUCCGGUACUCCACCUGAAUGAGGCGCGCAAGCGGAGUUGACGGAAGAGUGUCAGCGAUCAACUUAACUUCAGUGAAGACACUGCAGGCCUUCCAUCUGAGGAGCUCAUUUACAAACAUGAUUUAAACCUCACAAUAUUCCUGUGAGACAGAUAGUGUAAUGAUUGGCUAAAAACAGCAUGAGGAAAACUACAGGAUUAGACCCUUCUUCCUACCCAUAUCCUCCUUCAUACAGGAUACCGGUGACCCAUUCUCCCUGAUCAGAAUUAGUGAUGAAUGUGGGUUGCAUAGACAAAU